UACGUGGUCCCAAGGUUAAAGCUGUCUGA
RNAcentral lists this non-coding RNA (29 nucleotides) under Mus musculus (house mouse). Lineage: Eukaryota; Metazoa; Chordata; Mammalia; Rodentia; Muridae. The record is from RNAcentral.